CCUACGGGAGGCAGCAGUGAGGAAUAUUGGUCAAUGGACGAGAGUCUGAACCAGCCAAGUAGCGUGAAGGAUGACUGCCCUAUGGGUUGUAAACUUCUUUUAUAUGGGAAUAAAACGUUCCACGUGUGGGAUUUUGUAUGUACCAUAUGGAUAAGGAUCGGCUAACUCCGUGCCAGCCGCCGCGGUAAUACGGAGGAUCCGAGCGUUAUCCGGAUUUAUUGGGUUUAAAGGGAGCGUAGGUGGAUUGUUAAGUCAGUUGUGAAAGUUUGCGGCUCAACCGUAAAAUUGCAGUUGAAACUGGCAGUCUUGAGUACAGUAGAGGUAGGCGGAAUUCGUGGUGUAGCGGUGAAAUGCUUAGAUAUCACGAAGAACUCCGAUUGCGAAGGCAGCUCACUGGACUGCAACUGACACUGAGGCUCGAAAGUGUGGGUAUCAAACAGGAUUAGAUACCCGAGUAGUC
Molecule: ribosomal RNA, 460 nt
Filed under: uncultured bacterium
Lineage: Bacteria
Description: partial 16S ribosomal RNA
Rfam family: Bacterial small subunit ribosomal RNA
Source: RNAcentral